Long non-coding RNA from Brienomyrus brachyistius, 1757 nucleotides. RefSeq lists it as uncharacterized. Lineage: Eukaryota; Metazoa; Chordata; Actinopteri; Osteoglossiformes; Mormyridae. The record is from RefSeq and is a predicted model, not a curated record. The transcript is spliced from 3 exons.
AAACAGUAUCUCUAUUAUCCCUCCGUCCCCGCCCAUAACCCACAAGUCCAUCAGGAACAAUGCCUCUGCAGUCAGUCCUCCUUCUCCGGCCAUAUCCCAUAAGUCCAUGGAUCCUUGUCAGGAGUUGCUGUUCCGCCGGUCGCUGACGCUGCCCCUGGCCUCUCUCUGGUUGUAGAUCGCAGGAGCCGUUGCUGUCGGUUCGAUGAAGGUACUUCAGUUGGGGCCUCCUCCUCGUCGCUCCUUCUUCCUCCAGCGUGGGUAGCCUGUCCCUCCCGCUCCACGGACGAACCCUCUGGCCACGAUGGCAAGACACUUCAAAAUGCAACCAGUCGUUAAGAUGCUCGAAAGCAGUUUGAGAAGAUAAGUACAUGUGAUUCAAAAGCAAUCAAGUUGUUGUCACGGACGCCCAUUCGUACCAUAACAGACAAUGCGAUCCUAUGCAGCUCGUCGGCGACUUUCGGCCGCGUUCGGCUCCGAUUCGACUGUAAGCAGAUUGCCACUCUGACGUAUGUGGCGCGAGACUCGGGCUUUCGGACUCAAACGCUCAUAGCAAUAAAUCUUAUGGAGAAUCUCCAUUAAUCCAUUUAAAACCUAAAACUGGUUGCAUCAGAAGCGUUUCAGCAGUUUGCAAACCAUAAAGACUAUUUACAAGGUAAUGAAACUGUUAUAUAAAUGUGAAUACGUGUGUAGGCUUGUCCCGAAUUGAAAAUCUCAUGCCAACAAGCUGACCCAAGUUGGCAACCCUGCGUAAGUCGCCCCCCUUAUUUUAUAUGCAAAAAUGAUCAUAUGCAGGGGGCACAUAACUGAUAUGAAAGUACUCAUUCGCUGUCUAAAGCGAUACGCGCGGUAAUGUUUUGUAGCAGCGCAAAUGCGUAUUUACUUUAUGUGCAUACGCGCUGUUAUGACAAGAAAUCAUUGUGUAUUUUAGCCUUCAUGCCGCGAAAGAAUUACAAAUUAGCCUAAAUGUUAAGAUGCACGGUAAUUUCUUGUCAUAACAGCGUGAAUGCACAUAAAAUAAAUACGCAUUUGCGCUGCUACAACAAGGAGUUGCCCCGCGUGUACGAGGAAUGCGUACUUGCGCACCAUGCAGUUAUGUGCGCUCCUGAUCAUAUGUAUAGUAUAUUGUACAAUAAAUGCUAUAAUAUUUAAGUCGUAUCGUUUGCUGUUUUUUAAUAUUUUAAUCAUCAUUUUCUUCGUUCAUUCCUGACGACAAUUGGGCCAGAGACUGUCAUACGCUCUCGGUAACACUCACAACCAGAUGUAGCACAACAGUGAAACAUUUACAAAUGUGACAAAAGGUCUUCUCUGUGUCCAUUAAUUCACACAUAGAGUUUUAAUCCCGUUUCAUGAAAAGCUGUAGUUAUGUUGCCCCUGACAAUUCCAAAAUUCUUUUUGCAGCAAACUGACAAACCGAAUAAGCCCAGGACACUGGAAAAUGCUUGAAAAACAUGAUUGGUUCUGUGGACUGUGGCGCGUUCCUGUUGAUUGUUGUCACGUCACGGAUCGGGGAAGCAGGAGCAGGAAGAUGGAGAAUCUGGAAACCAGCUAGGAACACAGGACAAUAGAAGUAGGGACUUAAAUGACUGGACGGGGAAAAUAUAUUUUGACGCGGAGUUAAAUACAUAGAACUAAUGAAAACAACUGGAAACAGCGAAUGACAUGGAGAUUCCACACGAGGUUAACGAGGGGGCGUGGCACUCGGGAGGAUCGGACGAGCGCGCGUGACAAUUGUAAGAGAGACCACCUUGAAUUGUUGG